CAGUAGCCACGGUAAUACGUAGGUGGCAAGCGUUGUCCGGAAUUAUUGGGCGUAAAGGGCUCGCAGGCGGUUUCUUAAGUCUGAUGUGAAAGCCCCCGGCUCAACCGGGGAGGGUCAUUGGAAACUGGGAAGCUUGAGUGCAGAAGAGGAGAGUGGAAUUCCACGUGUAGCGGUGAAAUGCGUAGAGAUGUGGAGGAACACCAGUGGCGAAGGCGACUCUCUGGUCUGUAACUGACGCUGAGGAGCGAAAGCGUGGGGAGCGAACAGGAUUAGAUACCCCGGUAGUCCCUGUCUCUUAUAC
Molecule: ribosomal RNA, 301 nt
Filed under: uncultured bacterium
Lineage: Bacteria
Description: partial 16S ribosomal RNA
Rfam family: Bacterial small subunit ribosomal RNA
Source: RNAcentral